This 253-nucleotide ribosomal RNA is filed under the name uncultured bacterium. RNAcentral describes it as "partial 16S ribosomal RNA". It matches the Rfam family "Bacterial small subunit ribosomal RNA", at positions 524 to 776 of the family's 1533-position model. The record is from RNAcentral.
UACGUAGGGUGCGAGCGUUAUUCGGAAUUACUGGGCGUAAAGCGUGCGCAGGCGGCGCGUUAAGACAGGUGUGAAAGCCCCGAGCUUAACUUGGGAAUUGCGCUUGUGACUGGCGUGCUGGAGUGUGGCAGAGGGAGGUGGAAUUCCACGUGUAGCAGUGAAAUGCGUAGAGAUGUGGAGGAACACCGAUAGCGAAGGCAGCCUCCUGGGCCAGCACUGACGCUCAUGCACGAAAGCGUGGGGAGCAAACAGG